This 303-nucleotide ribosomal RNA is filed under the name uncultured bacterium. Its description in RNAcentral is "partial 16S ribosomal RNA". It matches the Rfam family "Bacterial small subunit ribosomal RNA", at positions 507 to 807 of the family's 1533-position model. The record is from RNAcentral.
AGCAGUAGCCGCGGGAAUACGGAGGGUGCAAGCGUUAUCCGGAUUUAUUGGGUUUAAAGGGUCCGUAGGCGGACUUAUAAGUCAGUGGUGAAAGCCUGUCGCUUAACGAUAGAACUGCCAUUGAUACUGUAAGUCUUGAGUAUAUUUGAGGUAGCUGGAAUAAGUAGUGUAGCGGUGAAAUGCAUAGAUAUUACUUAGAACACCAAUUGCGAAGGCAGGUUACCAAGAUAUAACUGACGCUGAGGGACGAAAGCGUGGGUAGCGAACAGGAUUAGAUACCCCGGUAGUCCCUGUCUCUUAUAC